Molecule: ribosomal RNA, 253 nt
Filed under: uncultured bacterium
Lineage: Bacteria
Description: partial 16S ribosomal RNA
Rfam family: Bacterial small subunit ribosomal RNA
Source: RNAcentral
AACGUAGGUUCCGAGCGUUAUCCGGAUUUCCUGGGCGUAAAGCGCGUUCAGGCGGUUUGGCAAGUCGGGCAUGAAAUCCUUCGGCUCAACCGGGGGAGGUUGUCCGAUACUGCUAAACUGGAGGGCAGUAGAGGGUGGUGGAAUUCCGGGUGUAGUGGUGAAAUGCGUAGAGAUCCGGAGGAACACCAGUGGCGAAAGCGGCCACCUGGACUGUACCUGACGCUGAAACGCGAAAGCUAGGGGAGCGAACGGG